UACAGAAAAUAGUUUAGUUUUGAAUUUUAGCUUUGGGAGUUAGGGGUGGGAGUUGCAAUCU
Molecule: transfer RNA, 61 nt
Filed under: Clarias batrachus (walking catfish)
Lineage: Eukaryota; Metazoa; Chordata; Actinopteri; Siluriformes; Clariidae
Description: partial tRNA-Pro
Source: RNAcentral